RNAcentral lists this ribosomal RNA (462 nucleotides) under uncultured bacterium. RNAcentral describes it as "partial 16S ribosomal RNA". It matches the Rfam family "Bacterial small subunit ribosomal RNA", at positions 28 to 507 of the family's 1533-position model. The record is from RNAcentral.
GAUGAACGCUGACAGAAUGCUUAACACAUGCAAGUCGAUGGGGAAGUGGUGCUUGCACCAUGGCAACCAUGGCGGACGGGUGAGUAACGCGUAAGGGACUUACCUGCAGGACUGGGAUAACAGGGGGAAACUCCUGACAAGACCGGAUAAUGUCAUGGAGCUGCAUGCUUUAUGAUGAAAGGAGACGCCUGCGGAGAGCCUUGCGUCCUAUUAGCUAGUUGGUGAGGUAAUGGCUCACCAAGGCGAAGAUAGGUAGCCGGCCUGAGAGGGUGGACGGCCACAAGGGGACUGAGAUACGGCCCUUACUCCUACGGGAGGCAGCAGUGGGGAAUAUUGGACAAUGGGGGCAACCCUGAUCCAGCAAUUCUGUGUGCACGAAGAAGGUUUUCGGAUUGUAAAGUGCUUUCAGCAGGGAAGAAGUAAGUGACGGUACCUGCAGAAGAAGCGACGGCUAAAUACGUG